GAUGCAUUUGUGUAAGAAUAAUAUCCAUAUUUAACAUGUUAUAAAGUAAAAUAAGUAGCUCCUGGCCAAACGGAUUCUACUUAUGUCUAAAGUGUAAUUUUACUACGCUAGGGUGUAGCGUAGUAUGUCAUGGCAUAGCGUAAUCCCAGUAGUGCGUCGCGUAAGUUACGCUUAGACCUAACUUGUCUGGGUUAGUUAUGAUUAAAUUGUUAAUCAAUGUCACUGGUAAACUGGUAAAACACUGGUAAAACGUUUCAAAGCAUCGAAGGAAUUGUCUCCCGUUUCAAAAGUUCUGUACACAAAACAGUUAAAUUCACAGUUUGUACAAGAGCGUGUGUACAUUGCAAAAAAAUAAGCUAGUAUUCUGUGAAAUAGUAUAAAUAAACCCAUUAUGCUUCAGUAAAUGAACCAAAGAACAUGCCAGGUUUAAAUAAACCACUGCUGGGUUUGUCUGUUUUGGUUCAUAUGUGGGUUGCUAAACAACCCAAUGUGGGUUAUUUCAACACGUUGGUUUUAGAGUGUACACUAAUCUACAUACAACUGAUCAGUGCAUAAAAUGGUUUCCUAUCUGAUGUGCUGCUUCCUAAUUCACCUAUUGUGGGUCUCAUUUUGUCUCUUUUCACACUCGCUGUAAUGGAGUUGUUCAUCUUCAUGGCUUUUCAGCUUCUUAUGGAGGUUCAGUCUUACAUUGUUCAUCUUCAUCGCUUUUCAGCUUCUUAUGGAGGUUCAGUCUUACACUCGAAUCAGCUAAAAUAUUGGCUUACUGAGCACAGGAUUGAUAAACCAUCAUGUCAUUCUCCUGAUGGCACAGUGACGGUUCUAGAUGAGAUAUUUCACUGCUGUUCUUCAACUACCACUUUGAAGUCACAUGUUCAAAAAACAUCUCCUCACUCUGAUCCAGUGACAGUAACAGUCCAGAAUUCAGUGGCGACCUCUACUGGUGAAACUCUGACAACAGCCACAGAAACUGAUAUUCUGAAUAUCUGUAAGAACUGAAACAAACCUUGAAAACCUUGGCUUUCAGUAGUGCUGGUUUUCACUGGUGUUGGUUUAUUUCUGUCUGGACUCAUGGGAUUCAUCUGUCUCUGCCACUUUGACACGACAUCUCUUCUCUGAUGAUGUGUUUACUGGCGUGAGGGUGGGACAACCUGUCACUCACAUGAGAUCGACCAAUAGCAAAUCACAACCAUCCAAUUCCUGAUCAAAAUCAAGUCCUGCCCUAUAUUCUUACUUCUUUGAGAAGUUGUUUCACUUGGAUAUAGAGAAGAAAAGGCUAUCGCAACUUCCCUUUCAUGUCAACUUUAAAUGUUACUUUUUACAAAACCUCCUUCCAUCUUUCCGAGUCUGUGAGUACAAAAAAACGUUACAUGUGGCCAGUGGCAUAACUUUGUUAUGGUGGUGCUGGUUACAUCAGAAAUGUACUGAUAAAUGCACAAAAAAUAACAUUACUGUCCAGAAAUCAAUUUCAGUAUUACAUUGAGUUUAAUUUAUCACUGUUCACUCCAGUGCUGAUAUAGAUAAAUUAACUAAAUUAAUAACUAUUGAUUCUUACAACCGAAUGAAUCAAUACUGAAUUUACUUAAGAUGGACAAUGACACCAUUUUCUUUAAGAGCUGCUGUGCAGCCAAAAUUAUAUACCAGUUAUCACUGUAAAGCUGCUUUGACACAAUCUGCAUUGUAAAAAGUGCUAUAUAAAUAAAGGUGACUUGCCUUGACAUAGAA
Long non-coding RNA from Ctenopharyngodon idella (grass carp), 1722 nucleotides. RefSeq lists it as uncharacterized. The transcript has 5 exons. NCBI's taxonomy places the organism in Eukaryota, Metazoa, Chordata, Actinopteri, Cypriniformes, Xenocyprididae. The record is from RefSeq and is a predicted model, not a curated record.